Non-coding RNA from Paramarasmius palmivorus, 94 nucleotides. NCBI's taxonomy places the organism in Eukaryota, Fungi, Basidiomycota, Agaricomycetes, Agaricales, Marasmiaceae. The record is from the annotation of a GenBank genome assembly.
UCCGUUAUGGUGUAGUGGCUAACAUUAUCGCCUCUCAUAGUUGAUCUAUCACGGGAGAACGCGAUAGCCCAGGGUUCGAUUCCCUGUAACGGAA